UACGUAGGGGGCGAGCGUUACCCGGAUUUACUGGGCGUAAAGAGCGUGUAGGCGGCUGGCCAAGCGUGAUGUGAAAUCUUCGGGCUUAACCCGAAAACUGCAUUGCGAACUGGUCUGGCUAGAGUGUGUGAGAGGGUGGUGGAAUUCCCGGUGUAGUGGUGAAAUGCGUAGAGAUCGGGAGGAACACCCGUGGCGAAGGCGGCCACCUGGGCCGACCCUGACGCUGAGGCGCGAAGGCGUGGGGAGCGAACGGG
Molecule: ribosomal RNA, 254 nt
Filed under: uncultured bacterium
Lineage: Bacteria
Description: partial 16S ribosomal RNA
Rfam family: Bacterial small subunit ribosomal RNA
Source: RNAcentral